CCAUGGUCUGGAAAUGCACCAACUGAUCUAAUAUGCUCCUUGUACUUGCAAAAUAUAGCAAACAUGUUAGUGAAGGAAAACUACUGUUCUAGGUUCUUGUGGGUUUUGGAAUCAAGAGUUGGAAAUUGGUGAUUAUUGAAAUAAAAAGUAGGAAGCUUUGGGUAGUAUUAUUUCUAUAGGUAAAGAUUGUAGCUAGCAAAGAACUGCCCUCAGACUCUUUAUUCCCUAGGGUUUUGUAUGUUUUGGGAAGGGAGAAAGAGUGUAGGGUGGGGUUAGCAGUGGAUUCAGAGAGUUCCUGGGAGAUAGUUGUACCCCGGGUUUUUUUGGCUUGCUAAUUUCUGGUUCUUAUGGGGGAUGAAGUGGGUUUGGUGUUUGUUAAUGUGAUUGAGAUGAUGGCCAGAAAGGGAGAGGCCAUAACUAUGCUUAGGAGUGAUACUGAAAGGUUGGAGUGUGAGGGAUUGUCUAGCU
Molecule: long non-coding RNA, 468 nt
Filed under: Nicotiana benthamiana
Lineage: Eukaryota; Viridiplantae; Streptophyta; Magnoliopsida; Solanales; Solanaceae
Description: long non-coding RNA (NBEN_LNC030561)
Source: RNAcentral